ACCGGCCCGUGCAUCGUGGCCUCUGUCCGAAUCGGCCCUGGCGUACUUCCCCAACGCCAGGUCCGCAUCGGGCAGGGACCUCGAUGUGCGGGUGGCCAACC
This is a non-coding RNA of Mycobacterium sp. ACS4331, 101 nucleotides long. NCBI's taxonomy places the organism in Bacteria, Bacillati, Actinomycetota, Actinomycetes, Mycobacteriales, Mycobacteriaceae. The record is from Rfam.